Molecule: unclassified non-coding RNA, 430 nt
Filed under: soil metagenome
Description: partial contains 5.8S ribosomal RNA, internal transcribed spacer 2, and large subunit ribosomal RNA
Rfam family: 5.8S ribosomal RNA (bases 1-120)
Source: RNAcentral
GAUGAAGAACGCAGCGAAAUGCGAUACGUAAUGUGAAUUGCAGAAUUCAGUGAAUCAUCGAAUCUUUGAACGCAUAUUGCGCUCUCUGGUAUUCCGGAGAGCAUGCUUGUUUGAGUAUCAGUAAACACCUCAACUCCCUUUUCUUUUUUGAAAUUGGAGCUGGACUUGAGUGAUCCCAACGCUGUCUUCCAAGAAAGUGGCGGGUUGCUUGAAAUGCAGGUGCAGCUGAACUUUUCUCUGAGCUAUAAGCAUAUCUAUUUAGUCUGCCUAAAAAACAGAUUAUUACCUUUGCUGCAGCUAACAUAAAGGAGACUAGUUCUUGUGCUGACUGAUGCAGGAUUCACAGAGACAGCUUCGGCUGACUUUGUAAACUCGAUCUCAAAUCAAGUAAGACUACCCGCUGAACUUAAGCAUAUCAAUAAGCGGAGGA